CUAACCCAAGAAAAUAUUGGAUUUUUAUGUUUAUUUUGAUGCCUUUUAUCUUUUUACGAGCGUUGACCCACAUGUUUUGGGACAAUCUGUAUAGAAAAAGUCAUAUCUCACUGAUUUUUGCUUUAAUAUGUUGUAGAGGAAAGUAUUCUGAGUAAUUCUGUGUAAGAAUUUUGUAGAGGAUGACAUUAGUUUCAGAAAUAUAACAAAUUAAAGUUGAAAUAUUUUAUUACUUUUAUUUAUGCAUUAAAAACUAAUAUUAUGUAAAAACUAAAAUGUUUGUAUAUACUGUAUUAAUCUGUUUUGGCCUGGUCUUUUUCGCUGCACUGCUGCACUGGUGCAAUAAGUUAGAGUGAGAAAAAAUAUAUGUUUUACUCUAAUCUGUUGCACCAAUGCAGCAGUGCAGUGAAAAAGAACAAGCCAUUUAUGACCUUGUAAGAAUAAACAAAUCAUGGGUAUUUUGUCAAUAAUUCAAUACACUGAUUUCUUGCAAUUGGUUAGAGACUUUCAUUAUGCAACCACAUGAAUUUUUUAUUUAUUUUACUUUAAAAAAUCUAUUAAUUUAUUACAAUUCUUGUUGAGGAUGCAAUAAGUUAAUAGAUUUUUUAUUGACUAAAAAGUUAUUUGCACAUCUUAAAUAUCCUUAGUGUGAAGCAAAUGUAAAAUUGAAUUGUGAACAUAUGCUUUUUAUGUAUCAUAAUGUUAUAUAUGAACAAUAUGAAAGUAAUGCAAAAUGUGUAAUUUUACUGUAAAUCUGUAUUAUAAAACAUGGUUUUUGAACUAUUAUUUGAGCAUACUGAUAUGAUAAAAAAUGUAUCAAUAUAUUGAUUACAACUAAAUUCAGAAAUUCUUGUAGUUACAUAUCAAAGGCUUUUUAAUUUUUCAAACUUUAAUUUUUUAUAUUUUUGAAACGUUAUUUCCCAUUAAAUUCUUAUGGGAAAUUACUCAGACUACUUCUUUCUUUAACACACCCAAGUGAUAACAAAAUUGGUGAGACAUGAGCUUUUUUAUAUAUUUUACAUAUUGUUGUUUAUGCAUAUUUUUGUUUUUGUUGUUAAAAACGUUGGACAUGAUUUUUCAACUAGAAACCUAACUUACAAUGUUUCCAUGUUCUUUGUAUAUUUUAAUAUUUACAUAUUCCUGUAACAGUUUAGUUUUUAAUUAAUAUUUAAUAACUUUUUAAACAAUCUUUUUAGUGAUUAAGUAAUUGGAUAUGUUAUAAGUUUUUCACAAAUUUUUACAAAAAUUUUUAGAUAAUUAAGUGUGUCUGAACAAAAUUGAACAGAGUGAUUGCUUAUAAUGCUGACAAAUUGCUGUACAUUUAUCUUCAAGUAUUUUGAAUAUACAAUAUUAAAACAAUACACAAGUAAUGAAGUAUAUACUUAUGUAUUGCAGCAGUUUAACAGCAAAAUAGCAAUAUGAAAUAAUAUUAAAAAAAGACCAAUUUUGGCUUUCAAAGAUAGAAAUAAGAGAAAGACUAUUUUUUAAUCUUUUGAAUACAAUAAAAUGAGUACCAGAGUCAAUGUGCACAGUAUAAAACACACUACCAGAUAAAUUUAUUCUAAUCCUAAUUGACUAAGCAAUCUGAUUAGUGGUGUCUGUUUUCACUGUGCCCAUCUAGGCUCCUGAUAAAAAUUAUUAAAUUAUUCAUAGUGUUACCUUGGAAAUUAAGCAAGAACAUAAUGUAUUAUAGAUGGAGCCACAAAAUGCAUUUGUGUGAGUUUUUUGGAGGAGUUAUGUUUUAUGUGUGUAUGUAAGGGAAGAUUUAAGUAAUUGGAUGUGGGAAGAGAAGAAAUUUGGAUCAAUUAUAUAAAGUUGAAUGAAAAUAAAAAUGCAUCUGGUGAAAAGAAAGCAUAUUUGAAGAGAAGGGUACAUUCUAUCUUGUUGAGUUAAAAAGAUUGAACUGUUUGCAUAAUUUGAUAGUUUCAAAUGUAUAGAAUGUUAUGUUAAAGCUGUACAGAUAAAUCCUCACAAGUUUAGAAGCAAAAUAAGUUGUGCAUGGAUCGAUUAUAUCCUCUUUGGGUACGAGAAAGUCCAAACAAAUUCCAUUUACCUAUCACUGAUGAAGAAAAUCUAGACAAACAAUAUUUUGAGAAAGUAGGGUUUCUUAUAUAGCCCUGGAAUAGGCAAUUAAGUAUGACUACAUCUGCAGAUGAAGAUCUGCGCCAACAAGGUACUUUUUUUAGGAAAGCCUCUCUGUGACGUGCUACCACAACCAUCUACAUAAGUUUUAUAUAUUGAAAUUAUGAUUUUUAUAUUUUUAUAUUACAACUAUAACAGAUAUUGUGGAAAAAAUUUGGUUAAAAAAAUUUAACAUUGUUAAUGCCCGAAACAAUAAUUAAAAAAAAUGCUAUAUUUUAAAGUCUGCAAGAAUAUACCCUUAAACAUGGGAAUAGAAAGGUUCCUGUAUGUUUAAUUACUUGAACUAUUCUAAAGUUACUCUGUAUAUUUAAUUACUUCAAUUUUUAUAAUGCUACUCAACAAAAUGCUUUAACUGC
Monomorium pharaonis (pharaoh ant) is the source of this 2495-nucleotide long non-coding RNA. RefSeq lists it as uncharacterized. The record is from RefSeq and is a predicted model, not a curated record. NCBI's taxonomy places the organism in Eukaryota, Metazoa, Arthropoda, Insecta, Hymenoptera, Formicidae. The transcript is spliced from 2 exons.